GUUAAAAAGCUCGUAGUUGGAUUUUUAAGGAUGUCUGCUUCUAGUGACCUUUCGUGUCUCUAAGGUUGCAGACUCCCCUUAUUUUGCCUCAGUGCCUGGUUGGGAUUCGUUUCUCGAUCUGGCUUCAGGGGCGUGUUUACUUUGAGAAAAUUAGAGUGUUCAAAACAGUCUUGUGAUUGUAUAUCAUAGCAUGGAAUAAUAACUGAUGACGUCGGUCAUUUUUUGUUGGUUCGGAUGGCUGAAGUAAUGAUUGAUAGAGUUUGUCGGAGGUAUUAGUAUUUUAUCGUUAGCGGUGAAAUGCAUGGAUCGAUAAAAGACUAACAACUGCGAAAGCAUUUAUCUAGGAUUUGCUCUUUGAUCAAGAACGAAAGUUGGGGGAUCGAAGACGAUCAGAUACCGUCGUAGUCUCAACUAUAAACUAUACCAGCUAGGGAUUGGUAAGCGUUGCUUGACCUUGUCAGAACCUUAUGAGAAAUCAAAGCAUUUGGGUUCCGGGGGGAGUAUGGUCGCAAGGCUG
Molecule: ribosomal RNA, 517 nt
Filed under: uncultured marine eukaryote
Lineage: Eukaryota
Description: bacterial SSU rRNA
Rfam family: Eukaryotic small subunit ribosomal RNA
Source: RNAcentral